AGGACACAGCAAAUGGUGGUCCAGUGGGACCACCAUGUCUGAUAAUCAGAAAGCAUUGGUUAUCAUUGGUUAUCUAGUAGCCUGCAUUUGUUCUCAAAGCUUUCUACAAUGUUAUAGUGAGAUGACUAUAUAGAAAAAUAUCUAAUUUCUUUUUCAUUGCACAUUUUCUCAAACAUGAGGUAUUUAAUCCAAAAGAAUAGCCAAAGGCUUGAGAAGGCUUAGUAAGGAAAUUGUACAGAAGGCACUUCUGUGCUAUUAAAAGUCGAGAAACUGUUAUAGCAAGGAAACAUUGUGCAAUAUGUUCAGAAAUAAGGAGGGGUUUUUUUAUCUUGCAAAAAAUACAGCAGUGAACUGCAUGCAUCACUAAAAUGUCCCACUGGUUGCCUACCAUGCCAGAGAGGAAGGGGCAGUAGCUGGUUCUGCCAGGACAAGUGUUCUGCCAAUGGUGUUUGGUGAUUAUUACAAACUAAACACAGCCCAGGAAGUGGAGGAAAGAGCAAUAAAUCGAAGGACUUGGACUACACUUUUACAGUCUGCCGGCGCUCACCAACUUAAUUUACUCAGACUAGGGAAAAGUGUGUCUCAGUAAACAAACUGAAGCUGCUGCUAUUCCGACAUGAACCCUGACAUUUGCUGGCCUGAUGCAGCUUUUCUACCUGUCUCUUCCUCAGAGCUGCUGCAUACACACACACAAGACUUCCAUGCUGCCAGAGACGCAGAUGCGGGCUGCCUGGCUGGUUUCAGCUGCCAUUAUUCUCCUAUAACCUUGGCGAUUGGGAUAUGUAACAUCCCCAGGAGGUACAGUUCCUAACUGCCCAGCGGUUGAGAGCUAUGCCCACCAGUUCUAGGUUUGGUCUUUGGUCAGUGGAGUUGAUGAUUAUGUUUCCUUCAAUUAGUGUAAAUCAUGCUGAGCGUCUGGUAUGUGCUCUAUGCUCUAUAAGGGAAAAUUCCCUCCCAUGUGAAAAUAAUGUAUCCAUGUGUGUGCAUUGUUGUACUUGAAUUGUGUGCACUGUUGUGUAUUAAUGCAUAUAGGCCACACUCAGACAUCUACAAUGGCUUCGAAGCUUUUGAUUCCAUUUAAAUGGACUCCAUGCCCUUGGCAUGUGCUAUGUAAGUGUUUAUGAACUUUUUCCAGGCCCAUUUAUUUAUGAUGUGACAUGGUAGACAAUCGUGUUGGCUUUGUGUUCUUGUUUUUCAAGAAAAUCAAUGUACAUACUACUAAGCAAGUGAAUAAAUUAUUAAAAUAUAGAUGUAUGGCUCAUGCCCACUGUUAAAAAUAAAUUUAUCUUAUUUGUUUCAUAAUAUGUUUGCCACGAUGAUGAAAAUUUAUAUGGUCCUUAUACAUAUCGAUGCCGUGUAUUUAAGCUUUGUUCAAUAUUGAUGAGUGUUCCCUAAUAAAGUAUUUUAAACCUCUUUCUCUAAAU
This 1424-nucleotide long non-coding RNA is filed under the name Rattus norvegicus (Norway rat). RNAcentral describes it as "long non-coding RNA NONRATT011002". Lineage: Eukaryota; Metazoa; Chordata; Mammalia; Rodentia; Muridae. The record is from RNAcentral.